Alligator sinensis (Chinese alligator) is the source of this 2168-nucleotide long non-coding RNA. RefSeq lists it as uncharacterized. The record is from RefSeq and is a predicted model, not a curated record. The transcript has 4 exons. NCBI's taxonomy places the organism in Eukaryota, Metazoa, Chordata, Crocodylia, Alligatoridae.
UUGUAUUCAACACGUAUCCUUUUUUGAGCCUGAUAACACAAAACCACUGUCCCGCACCCUGCCUUGCUCUCCACACCGCAGUUGGAAGGCUCUGAUUUCCCAAAAGGCAGCACAGUCUCUUGCUCCAGCUGGAAUAACUAGAAAUAUACUUCCUGGAAUUAACUGUUUUACCAAGGAAACUCAUUGGUGCAAGCCCCAAGCCAACACUAACCUGAAAGGUAAAACACUCCUGAGAAGAGGUAGGAUAUGAAAACAGUAACAUUUGCAACACUUUGAGGUAACAUAUUGUGAUAUUUUAUAUUCAAUGUGUGUGCACAUUUUCCCAGCAAACUUGGAUAAAGCAAUUUAAUGAGUCCUUCCCCAUUACUUGUUUGACACUUGACAGAUGAGGACCAGCCAAAUGGUUUGUUAUAGAAAUUAUCUGUACGUAAAUGUGCUGGCUCUUACAUGACUUGCUUCUGCAAAGUAUUACUUAAGAGAACACUGCUUGUUCUGUACAGUGACAUGGCUGGGUGAUGUGUUUUUUAUUUGAAAGGGGUUGCAGCUAAUGAGAUGUGUUAGUGUAGCCCUAGAUUCUGGAAUGUGCUGCUCCUGUAGCAUCUUGUUACCACAUUCUGUUUACCUUCACCUAGAAGGUCUUCUGCUUUUUAAGAUUUCUGACAAGACAAGAUUUAAAAUAUUUAAUCACGUCUGGCAGACCUGAUUUACUAUUGAUUUGGUUUUUUUAAUGAAUAAUUAGGAAUAAAGACCAACCUUGGUGUAAGAUUAACUAGAACAAAGUAAUUUGUAAUAUUUAUUUUUGAGUGACUGCACUUAGAAAUAUGAAUAACAUAAAAUUUAAAUGAUAUAUGUGAAAUGUUCUCCUCUUCAGUGGCCUUUGAAUCGAGCUCAAGGACUGAUCUGUACAAUUUUAUGAACAAUUCAGCUUAAUUAUGCCAAUCUGGAUUUUGUAAAAAAAUCCAAACUUGUUUACAUAACACUUGUAUAAAAAAAGUGACAAACAAUACAUUGCAAACCACUUUAAAAAACUUAAAUACAUAAAUUGCAAGCGUAUUCUUUUAACUAUGAGGCAUCCAGGUUGUAACCAUAUUGGUCUAGAGGAAAAGGCAAUCAGGACUCGUAGUAGAGAGAUCUCUUAUUAGACCAACAAGAUUUUUGCAAAUAAAUAAAUAAAAUGUAUUUAAUUGCUUUAUAUAUAAAAGCAAUUAAAGAAAUUGUAUUUAUUUGCAAAAAUCUUGUUGGUCUAAUAAGAGAGAUCAUCUCUACUACGAGUCCUGAUUGCCUUCGAAAUAUGCACUUUAAAAAACCAAAUAUUUAUUCUAAGAUGAUUUGUCUUAAGGUAUUUUUUAAGAGUUAAACAUAUUUUCUUGCAUACACUGCGCACCUUUUUUCUAAAAACUGUCUGCUUGAAGUUGGUGUGUGCAUUUUGUGUGAGGAAAUGCAGUAAGAAGUGUCUGCUGCAUACCAAAGGAAAGGAAAAGUGAAGUCGGCAGAGAUCCACAGGGAGCAGAAAAAUGAACAGGCUCAGCUCCCUUGCUGCUGCUACUCAGUUACUAUGAGGAAAAAAUUGUUUUCUUCAUUCUGCCUUUCAAAAGUAUGGCUGGCUUAGUUGGCAAGAACAUGUCCCGUUAAUACGCCAAAAAGCUGAGAAUCCUUGUCUCAUGCCUCCCUACAAAAUCUGUGUAAAGCCUGGUGGUUUUACCUGAUAAGCAUCUAGCUGCUCUGGAGUAAAAAUGGUUUGCUUGUUGCCCAUGUCUGCCUCCGAGUCCCGAUUCUUGUCCCAUGGUUCUAUCCCCUUAAAUUACCUUUAUAGGAGUCCUGAAUAUUCAAAUUUGAAAAACUGCAACAAUGAGGUUCAGACAGGGGGGAUCAAGUAACCACCUUCUCUGCUCCAUGGAUUUCAGAAUCAUAAUAGGAGCAUUUCAUCGCAUCUUUAGUCUGACUAUAAGGCUCUCUUCCAGCAUCAUUCACCUGCCUUCUGUAUGCUCUGGCAGAGUCAUAUUACACCAUACAGCUAAACUCAAAACAGCUUCUUUGCCCUGUCUCUGAAAUUGAUAGGGGACUAUGUGGAUUUGUUGUUUGUGAUUCUGCUGAAAAAAAUGCAGACUGCUAAAAGCACUAGGAAUAUCUUUCUUCCUUCCUUUAAUAGUCAGCGUCAGAAGGAACCC